Molecule: ribosomal RNA, 1117 nt
Filed under: activated sludge metagenome
Description: bacterial LSU rRNA
Rfam family: Bacterial large subunit ribosomal RNA
Source: RNAcentral
GAGUCGGCCCCUAAGGCGAGGCCGAAAGGCGUAGUCGAUGGGAAACCGGUCAACAAUCCGGUACUGACGCGAACUGCGAUGGGGGGACGGAGAAGGCUAAGCCAGCCGGCGAUUGGUUGUGCCGGUUCAAGCGAGUAGGCAGACCGACCAGGCAAAUCCGGUCAGUCAAUGCCGAGACGCGAUAACGAGCCCUUUUAGGGCGAAGUGGCCAAUGCCCGGCUCCCAGGAAAAGCCUCUAAGCUUCAGGUUCGCGUCACCCGUACCCUAAACCGACACAGGUGGGCGAGGAGAGAAUCCUCAGGCGCUGGAGAGAACUCGGGUGAAGGAACUCGGCAAACUAGCACCGUAACUUCGGGAGAAGGUGCGCCCGUGGUAGGUGAAGGCCCUCGCGGCUGGAGCCGAAACGGGCCGCAGUGACCAGGUGGCUGCGACUGUUUACUAAAAACACAGCACUCUGCAAACACGAAAGUGGACGUAUAGGGUGUGACGCCUGCCCGGUGCCGGAAGGUUAAGUGAUGGGGUCAGCGCAAGCGAAGCUCUUGAUCGAAGCCCCGGUAAACGGCGGCCGUAACUAUAACGGUCCUAAGGUAGCGAAAUUCCUUGUCGGGUAAGUUCCGACCUGCACGAAUGGCGUAACGAUAGCCACACUGUCUCCACCCGAGACUCCGUGAAAUUGAACUCGCUGUGAAGAUGCAGCGUACCCGCGGCAAGACGGAAAGACCCCGUGAACCUUUACUACAGCUUUGCACUGGACUUUGAGCUUUCUUGUGUAGGAUAGGUGGGAGGCUUUGAAGCCGGGACGCCAGUUCCGGUGGAGCCAACCUUGAAAUACCACCCUGGAACGCUCGAGGUUCUAACCUCGGACCCUUAUCGGGUUCAGGGACCGUGCAUGGUGGGUAGUUUGACUGGGGCGGUCUCCUCCCAAAGAGUAACGGAGGAGUGCGAUGGUGCCCUCAGCGCGGUCGGAAAUCGCGCGUGGCGUGCAAAGGCGAAAGGGCGCUUGACUGCGAGACGGACAGGUCGAGCAGGUGCGAAAGCAGGUCUUAGUGAUCCGGUGGUUCCGUAUGGAAGGGCCAUCGCUCAACGGAUAAAAGGUACUCCGGGGAUAACAGGCUGA